This is an RNA transcript of Cercocebus atys (sooty mangabey), 1026 nucleotides long. It is a transcript of the gene named actin-85C-like, with no coding region annotated. The record is from RefSeq and is a predicted model, not a curated record. The transcript is spliced from 3 exons. NCBI's taxonomy places the organism in Eukaryota, Metazoa, Chordata, Mammalia, Primates, Cercopithecidae.
AUGAUAGGAGAAAAAGCUGGCUUUGCAGGUGACGAUGCUCCCGGGCCAUCUUCCCCUCUAUCAUGGGUAGCCCCAGACCCCAGGGCAUGAUGGUGGGCAUGGGUCAGAAGGACUCCUUUGUGGGCGAUGAGGCCCAGAGCAAGAGAAGCAUCCUGACCCUGAAGUACUCGGUGCAGCACAGUAUCAACUGGGAUGACAUGGAUAAGAUCUGGCACCACACCUUCUACAACAAGCUGCCUAUGGCUCCUGAGGACCACCCCAUGCUGCUGACCUAGGCCCCACUGAACCCCAAGGCCAAUCAUGAGAAGAUGACCCAGAUCUUGUUCGAGACCUUCAGCAACACCCCAGCCAUAUACGUGGCCAUCCAGCCUGUGGUGCUGUCCCUGUAUGCCUCUGACAUUACCACUGGCAUUGUGAUGGACUCUGGUGAUGGGGUCACCCACACUGCCCAUCUAUGAGUGGUAUGCUCUCCCCCACGCCAUCCUGCGUCUGGACCUGGCUGGUCUGGACCUGACUGACUACUUCAUGAAGAUCCUCACCGAGCAGGAGCUACAGCUUCACCACCACGGCCGAGCAGGAAAUCAUGCAUGACAUCAAGGAGAAGUUGUGCUACAUCACCCUGGACUUCAAGCAGGAGAUGGCCACGGUGGCCUCCGGCUCCUCCCUGGAGAAGAGCUACGAGCUGCCUGAACUUCCAAUGGCCAGGUCAUCACCGUCAGCAACGAAGGGUUCCAUACUCCCCAGGCAUUCUUCCACCCUUCCUUCCUGGGCAUGGAAUCCUGUGGCAUCCUACUGUCAAUUCCAUCAUGAAGUGUGACAUGGACAUCCGCAAAGAGCUCCAUGCCAACACAGGGCUGUCUGGUGGCACCACCAUGUACCCUGGUGUGGCAGGAUGGGGUGCAGAAGGAGAUCAUCGCCCUGAUGUUGAUCAGUGACUCCAUCCUGGCUUCCAGCUUCCAGCAGAUGUGGAUCAGCAAGGAAUGCGACAAGCCCGACCCCUUCUUCAUCCGCAGCAAAUGCUUCUAG